UUCAAAAGGGGUGCUUAUGGUUAAAUACUAUAGGCUGAGAACAUACCCAUAUUACCUGUACGGAUAAUGCCGGCGUAGGGAAUCUGAA
Molecule: non-coding RNA, 88 nt
Filed under: uncultured Parabacteroides sp.
Lineage: Bacteria; Pseudomonadati; Bacteroidota; Bacteroidia; Bacteroidales; Tannerellaceae
Source: RNAcentral